RNAcentral lists this unclassified non-coding RNA (1294 nucleotides) under Schistocerca americana (American grasshopper). RNAcentral describes it as "cuticle protein 19.8-like, transcript variant X3". Lineage: Eukaryota; Metazoa; Arthropoda; Insecta; Orthoptera; Acrididae. The record is from RNAcentral.
CCUGAGUACCUGGACGUGGGUAUGAACGGCCGCUGACCCAGCCGGCACACGCUGGACGCCCAGCCCGGCUCUCUAUAAAGGCGGGCCGCACGCCCCACUGGCCACAGUCGCUCAGCAUCCGACGCCGACCGCACCUGCAGACAUGAACGCCCUGGUGGUCCUCUCGCUGGCCGUGGCGGCCGCGCUCGCCGAGCCCAGGCCGGGCUACCUGGGCGCCACCACGUACGCGGCGGGGCUGGGCAUCCACGCCGCCCCGCUGACGCUGCCCGCCGCCUCCGUGCUGGCGCCCGCCGUGUCCUCGCAGUUCCACGCGCAGGACGAGCUCGGCCAGUACCACUACGGCUACAGCGGCGGCCCCUCCGCCAAGGAGGAGAUCCGCACCGCCGACGGCUCCGUCGCGGGUGCCUACUCCUACGUGGACGCCCACGGCAUCGUGCAGAGCGCCCACUACGUGUCCGACCCCGUCAACGGCUUCCGCGUCGCCGCCACUAACCUCCCGGUCGGUCCCGCCGCUCCCGCCCCCGCCGUCGUGGCAGCCGCCCCCGCCCCUGCCGUCGCCGUGGCCGCCGCGCCCGCCGUCGUCGCCGACACCCCCGAAGUCGCCGCCGCCAAGGCCGCCCACUUCAACGCCCACCUGGCCGCCAAGGCCGCCGUCCUCGGCCGCAAGAAGCGCAGCCCCGGCUUCCUGAGCGCAGCCGCCCCCGCCGCCGUGCUGUCCACCCCCGCCGCCACCGCCCUCGCCGCCCCAGUGGCCUACGCCGCCCCCGCCGUGGCCGUCGCUCCCGCCCGCAGCUUCGCCUACUCCGCCGUCGCCGCUCACGGUGCGCAGGUGGUCCCCGCCGGUCCCGUGGCCGCCUACGCCGCCGCCGCCCCCGUCGUGGCCGCCGCCCCUGCGGCGCACGUGGUCGCCGCCGCCCCCGCCGCCGUCGCCUACUCCGCUCCCGCGCCUGUCGCCUACUCCGCACCCGCCGCCGCGGCCGUCCUGCCAGUGGCCGCCUCCAGCCAGUACCGCGUCCAGGACGAACUCGGCCAGUACACCUACGGCUACGCCGACGGAAACUCCGCCAAGACUGAGAGCCGCGCUGCUGACGGCUCCACUGUCGGCGGCUACUCCUACGUAGACGGCAACGGCCUGGUGCAGAGUGUCAAGUACCACGCCGAUAGCCUGGGCUUCAGGGUCGCCGCCACCAACCUGCCCGUCGGACCUGCCUAAGUUGAACAUCACAUCUGCUCCCUCCCUGGAAAUGUUUACCACAUGCAUACACACACACACACACACACACACGUAACAGCU